GUAGGCAGCACAUAUACUAAAACUGGAGUAGUACAGAGAAGAUUAUCAUGGCCCCAUGCAAGGAUGACAAGCAAAUUAGAGAGGUGUUCCAUAUUUUA
Small nuclear RNA from Balaenoptera musculus (blue whale), 98 nucleotides. NCBI's taxonomy places the organism in Eukaryota, Metazoa, Chordata, Mammalia, Artiodactyla, Balaenopteridae. The record is from Ensembl.